AGUAGGGAAUUGUUCGCAAUGGGCGCAAGCCUGACGACGCAACGCCGCGUGGAGGAUGAAGACCUUCGGGUCGUAAACUCCUUUCGACCGAGAUGAAUACCCACCGACCUAACACGUUGGUGGGCUGACAGUAUCGAGGGAAGAAGCCCCGGCUAACUCCGUGCCAGCAGCCGCGGUAAUACGGGGGGGGCAAGCGUUGUUCGGAAUUACUGGGCGUAAAGGGUUCGUAGGUGGCCUGCUAAGUCAGACGUGAAAUCCCUCAGCUUAACUGGGGAACUGCGUGUGAGACUGGCGGGCUUGAGUGCAGGAGAGGAACGCGGAAUUCCAGGUGUAGCGGUGAAAUGCGUAGAUAUCUGGAGGAACACCGGUGGCGAAGGCGGCGUUCUGGACUGCUACUGACACUGAGGAACGAAAGCCAGGGGAGCAAA
RNAcentral lists this ribosomal RNA (428 nucleotides) under uncultured Acidobacteriota bacterium. RNAcentral's name for it is "bacterial SSU rRNA". It matches the Rfam family "Bacterial small subunit ribosomal RNA", at positions 353 to 772 of the family's 1533-position model. The record is from RNAcentral. Lineage: Bacteria; Pseudomonadati; Acidobacteriota.